GGAAUCUUCCACAAUGGACGAAAGUCUGAUGGAGCAACGCCGCGUGAGUGAAGAAGGGUUUCGGCUCGUAAAACUCUGUUGUUAAAGAAGAACAUAUCUGAGAGUAACUGUUCAGGUAUUGACAGUAUUUAACCAGAAAGCCACGGCUAACUACGUGCCUG
This 161-nucleotide ribosomal RNA is filed under the name uncultured bacterium. RNAcentral describes it as "partial 16S ribosomal RNA". It matches the Rfam family "Bacterial small subunit ribosomal RNA", at positions 358 to 511 of the family's 1533-position model. The record is from RNAcentral.